Molecule: ribosomal RNA, 253 nt
Filed under: uncultured bacterium
Lineage: Bacteria
Also listed under: 1 other name
Description: partial 16S ribosomal RNA
Rfam family: Bacterial small subunit ribosomal RNA
Source: RNAcentral
GACGAACCGAGCGAACGUUGUUCGGAAUCACUGGGCUUAAAGGGCGCGUAGGCGGGUGCUCAAGUCUGUGGUGAAAUCCUCCAGCUCAACUGGAGAACUGCCAUGGAUACUGGGUGCCUCGAGGGUGGUAGGGGUAUGCGGAACUAUCGGUGGAGCGGUGAAAUGCGUUGAUAUCGAUAGGAACUCCGGUGGCGAAGGCGGCAUACUGGACCACAUCUGACGCUGAGGCGCGAAAGCCAGGGGAGCAAACGGG